This 349-nucleotide RNase P RNA is filed under the name uncultured Parabacteroides sp. Its description in RNAcentral is "Bacterial RNase P class A". It matches the Rfam family "Bacterial RNase P class A". From Rfam's summary of the family: Ribonuclease P (RNase P) is a ubiquitous endoribonuclease, found in archaea, bacteria and eukarya as well as chloroplasts and mitochondria. The record is from RNAcentral. Lineage: Bacteria; Pseudomonadati; Bacteroidota; Bacteroidia; Bacteroidales; Tannerellaceae.
GCCGGUCUGUCGCACGCUAACAAGCGCGAGGAAAGUCCGGGCAACACAGAGCGCCAUACUUCUUAACGAGAAGCUGUCCGCAAGGGUAGAGUAGCGUAACAGAAAAGAACCGCCGGAUUUAUCCGGCAAGGGUGAAAAGGUGAGGUAAGAGCUCACCGGGUCCCUUAGCGAUAGGGGAUGCCGUACGCCUUAUGGGUUGUAAGGUCAUGUAUACCGGCGUUGUAGGAUGGCUCGUCCGAUGCCGGGGGGUAGACCGCUAAAGCUUAUCGGUGACGGUAAGACAAGAUAAAUGACAGACACCUUUUCCCUCUGGGAACAAGGCACAGAACCCGGCUUAUAGGCAGGCUGC